RNAcentral lists this ribosomal RNA (1020 nucleotides) under marine metagenome. RNAcentral describes it as "bacterial SSU rRNA". It matches the Rfam family "Bacterial small subunit ribosomal RNA", at positions 8 to 1070 of the family's 1533-position model. The record is from RNAcentral.
AGAGUUUGAUCAUGGCUCAGAAUGAACGCUGGCGGCACGCUUAACACAUGCAAGUCGAACGAGAUCUUCGGAUCUAGUGGCAGACGGGUGAGUAACGCGUGGGAACCUGCCCAGUAGUAGAGAAUAACUUGGGGAAACUUAAGCUAAUACUUUAUACGUCCUUCGGGAGAAAGCUUUAUGCGCUAUUGGAUGGGCCCGCGUUAGAUUAGUUUGUUGGUGAGGUAACGGCUCACCAAGGCGACGAUCUAUAGCUGGUCUGAGAGGAUGAUCAGCCACACUGGGACUGAGACACGGCCCAGACUCCUACGGGAGGCAGCAGUGGGGAAUAUUGGACAAUGGGGGCAACCCUGAUCCAGCGAUGCCGCGUGAGUGAUGAAGGCCCUAGGGUUGUAAAACUCUUUCGUCAGGGAAGAUAAUGACGGUACCUGAAGAAGAAGAUCCGGCUAACUCCGUGCCAGCAGCCGCGGUAAUACGGAGGGGUCUAGCGUUAUUCGGAAUUACUGGGCGUAAAGCGAGCGUAGGCGGAUUUGUAAGUUGGAGGUGAAAUCCCAGAGCUUAACUCUGGAACUGCCUUCAAAACUACAUUUCUUGAGUUUGGUAGAGGAGAGUGGAAUUCCUAGUGUAGAGGUGAAAUUCGUAGAUAUUAGGAGGAACACCAGUGGCGAAGGCGACUCUCUGGGCCAAUACUGACGCUGAGGUUCGAAAGCAUGGGUAGCGAACAGGAUUAGAUACCCUGGUAGUCCAUGCAGUAAACGAUGAGUGCUAGAUGUUGGGAAUUUAAAUUUCCAGUAUCGCAGUUAACGCGUUAAGCACUCCGCCUGGGAAGUACGGCCGCAAGGCUAAAACUCAAAUGAAUUGACGGGGACCCGCACAAGCGGUGGAGCAUGUGGUUUAAUUCGAAGAUACGCGAAGAACCUUACCGGCCCUUGACAUACCAAUCGCGGACUUAAGAGAUUAAGUCUUUCACUUCGGGUGGAUUGGAUACAGGUGCUGCAUGGCUGUCGUCAGCUCGUGUCGUGA